Molecule: small nuclear RNA, 63 nt
Filed under: Cervus elaphus hippelaphus
Lineage: Eukaryota; Metazoa; Chordata; Mammalia; Artiodactyla; Cervidae
Source: RNAcentral
GGGAAGAUUAGCGUGGCCCCUGUGUAAAGAUGACACACGUAUUCGUGAAGCAUUUCAUAUUUU